AGAUGAUCAGUCGGCCUUUCCAAUCUUUAACAGAGGAUUUAGAUUUUUGAUACACUAUUAAUUACAACAUAAAUAAUGUUGGCUAGCUAUUUGCAGGUAAAGCUUCUAAGAUGUGUGCCUUAUUUUCUAUAUUCUAGCAGUCUUGGGUCUUGAGUACAUAUCAUUGGCCUGGUUUUGGUCAUGCAUGCUCAGUUUGAUUCAGGGCAAACAUAAGUCACAGUUGCCUACAUGGUCAACUAAGAAAAGGUCAUCUGCCUUCCCUUCUGUCCUUCCUCCAUUCCCAUGGCUU
Molecule: unclassified non-coding RNA, 289 nt
Filed under: Hevea brasiliensis (rubber tree)
Lineage: Eukaryota; Viridiplantae; Streptophyta; Magnoliopsida; Malpighiales; Euphorbiaceae
Source: RNAcentral